Molecule: ribosomal RNA, 393 nt
Filed under: uncultured bacterium
Lineage: Bacteria
Description: partial 16S ribosomal RNA
Rfam family: Bacterial small subunit ribosomal RNA
Source: RNAcentral
AUACGGAGGAUGCGAGCGUUAUCCGGAUUUAUUGGGUUUAAAGGGUGCGUAGGCUGUGCGUUAAGUCAGGGGUGAAAUGCCGUCGCUCAACGACGGAGCUGCCCUUGAUACUGGCGUGCUGGAGUACGGAUGCCGUUGGAGGAAUGAGUGGUGGAGCGGUGAAAUGCUUAGAUAUCACUCAGAACACCGAUUGCGAAGGCAUCUGACGAAUCCGUCACUGACGCUGAGGCACGAAAGCGUGGGGAUAGAACAGGAUUAGAUACCCUGGUAUUCCACGCCGUAAACGAUGAUGACUAACCGUCGGCGAUAGACAGCCGGUGGCCAAGCGAAAGCGAUAAGUCAUCCACCUGGGGAGUACGUCGGCAACGAUGAAACUCAAAGGAAUUGACGGGG